This is a long non-coding RNA of Notolabrus celidotus (New Zealand spotty), 261 nucleotides long. RefSeq lists it as uncharacterized. NCBI's taxonomy places the organism in Eukaryota, Metazoa, Chordata, Actinopteri, Labriformes, Labridae. The record is from RefSeq and is a predicted model, not a curated record. The transcript has 2 exons.
UGUGUGUGUGUGUGUGUGUGUGUGUGUGUGUGUGUGCACUCAUACCAACAGCUUCCAGUGCGUUGCUGAGUUCAAAGGGGCUCAUGGUGCCAGAAGAGUCUUCGUCAAACUGGAAGAAGAUGGACUGGGAAAAGAAAGCAUCAUAGUGGACUCACCUGGAGGAAUCCAGUGGAGCAGGUAAAGUCCUGAGUGCUGGAACACAAAGACAGCAACAAAUUGUCAACAAUGCAAAAAAAUACAAAAAUAAAAAAUGUAUAACAA